Long non-coding RNA from Catharus ustulatus (Swainson's thrush), 1625 nucleotides. RefSeq lists it as uncharacterized. The transcript is spliced from 2 exons. Lineage: Eukaryota; Metazoa; Chordata; Aves; Passeriformes; Turdidae. The record is from RefSeq and is a predicted model, not a curated record.
CCAGUUCCAAGCCUGAACUCAGCUCCAGUUCACAGACUUUGGGAAGUCAGCAGAACAAGACAGAUGGCACCCGAGUAAAAACUCGCAUUCUGCCCAACAUGCCAAAGCUUUUCAUACCUUCAUCUGUCACCAAAUUUCCACCUGAGAUCACUGUCACUCCACCCACUCCCACCCUCCUUUCUCCAAAGGGCAGCAUUUCAGAAGAGACCAAGCAAAAAUUAAAGUCUGCUAUUUUGUCUGCUCAGUCUGCAGCGAAUGUAAAGAAGGAGAGCCUUUGUCAGCCAGCUUUGGAAAUCUUAGAGACCUCAAGCCAGGAGUCCUCACUGGAAAGUGAUACUGAUGAAGAUGAUGACUACAUGGACAUAUGAAUGAAUUCUGGCCAUCAUCAACACCAACCACAUAACCAUUCUUCUUGUUGCCAGCAUCUCUGGAAGUUGAAACAUCUUCAUUGGCAUUACUCUCCAUUUAAUUGGCAUCAUUGUGUUCUUCACUUUCAUUACCUUUGUUGUCACCACAACCACUUGUAUUGCCUUCAGACUCUUCUCCAUUCUACCCAUCAUGGUGCUUGACAGAAAGAAGGAUUGAUUGUUUACCAGGCAGUUGGUUAAUCUGGAUCAUGCUGUCACCAGGAACUUCAGAAAACACAAGGAUGUUCUGAGCUGCAAUUCAUAUCUCUCUACUGUUCUGCUUCUCCAACCAGAGCCCUGGGAGUUGCUCCGGUAGCUCUUUUCUAUAGUGUUCUCUUCCUUUGAGUUGUCUUGUAUUUUCCCCCUCUAGCUAAGUUCUUCUCCCAGUAAUUCAGCAACCUGAUGUCUGUCUAACCAUGCCAUGAUUAAUCCAACAGCUCCUUUUAAGGUGAAUGGAGUAGGAAAAAUGUGCUGAGCUGGUAGAGAUUUUAAUUGCACAGAGAAAGUCUGUGGCUUUGUCAUAGGGCAAGGAGGGUGAGCUGUGAGCCUGUCAGCUCCUUCACACUGCUGGGUGCUUUGUUGGAAUUUGACUCUUUCAACAGACAAAAGAACCAGCUUUUCCAGGCAGACAGAGAGGGUGGUCUCCUGUUUGUGCUCAUUUCACACCAAUGUAUGAGGUCCAGCAAAAUUUAUCUACCUGAAUGUUGGCUUAAAGAACUGAUCUUUCCAGAAUUGUCUUACAGUCCUUUCUCUUCUAAUGCCUUGGACAAGCAUUUUGAAUUGGGGGCUAGAUGAUAUUUUUAUGGUGGUAUUGAAAAAAAACUUGCAAGAUUUCAGUACCAUUUCAGUAAUGUCUGUUUUUUACAGAAUGACACGAAAAGGUGUUUUUUAUCUAUCUGCAGAGGGACUGCUCACAGUUAUUUAUAUGAGAAAAUAAUGGUAACAAAAAUCCUUUUUUUUUUUUCUACUGAAUGUUAACUUUGUAAAAUAAUGAAUGCAAACCAUGCAAAAAAAAAAAGUCACACACUAUAUAUACACCCGCGUGCGCCCACACACAUAUAUAUGUGUAUGUACAUAUAUAUAUGUCUGUAUAUGAAAACAGAAAAUGCAUACAGCUUGCAAUGUCGGAUUUCUUUGUGUUUGGGGGGGUUGGUUUUCUGUAAAAUGCAGAGCUUUGUAUAAACUUUUGGGUUUCUUUUCUAAUAAAGUUGAAAUGCA